GGCCGGUUAGCUCAGUCGGUUGAGCGUGGUGCUGACAGCACUAGGGUCGCAGGCUCGAUUCCCGUUCGGUCC
Molecule: transfer RNA, 72 nt
Filed under: Apaloderma vittatum (bar-tailed trogon)
Lineage: Eukaryota; Metazoa; Chordata; Aves; Trogoniformes; Trogonidae
Rfam family: tRNA
About the family: Transfer RNA (tRNA) molecules are approximately 80 nucleotides in length. Their secondary structure includes four short double-helical elements and three loops (D, anti-codon, and T loops).
Source: Rfam by way of RNAcentral